GCAGAGCACUCCUUACGGGAGGCAGCAGUGGGGAAUAUUGCACAAUGGGCGCAAGCCUGAUGCAGCCAUGCCGCGUGUAUGAAGAAGGCCUUCGGGUUGUAAAGUACUUUCAGCAGUGAGGAAGGUGGGUAUGUUAAUAGCAUAUUCAUUUGACGUUAGCUGCAGAAGAAGCACCGGCUAACUCCGUGCCAGCAGCCGCGGUAAUACGGAGGGUGCGAGCGUUAAUCGGAAUUACUGGGCGUAAAGCGCAUGCAGGUGGUUUGUUAAGUCAGAUGUGAAAGCCCGGGGCUCAACCUCGGAAUUGCAUUUGAAACUGGCAAACUAGAGUACUGUAGAGGGGGUAGAAUUUCAGGUGUAGCGGUGAAAUGCGUAGAGAUCUGAAGGAAUACCGGUGGCGAAGGCGGCCCCCUGGACAGAUACUGACACUCAGAUGCGAAAGCGUGGGGAGCAAACAGGAUUAGAUACCCUGGUAG
RNAcentral lists this ribosomal RNA (473 nucleotides) under uncultured bacterium. RNAcentral describes it as "bacterial SSU rRNA". It matches the Rfam family "Bacterial small subunit ribosomal RNA", at positions 328 to 793 of the family's 1533-position model. The record is from RNAcentral.